UAGGGAAUCUUCCACAGUGGACGAAAGUCUGAUGGAGCAACGCCGCGUGAGUGAAGAAGGGUUUCGGCUCGUAAAACUCUGUUGUUAAAGAAGAACAUAUCUGAGAGUAACUGUUCAGGUAUUGACGGUAUUUAACCAGAAAGCCACGGCUAACUACGUGCCAG
RNAcentral lists this ribosomal RNA (164 nucleotides) under uncultured bacterium. RNAcentral's name for it is "partial 16S ribosomal RNA". It matches the Rfam family "Bacterial small subunit ribosomal RNA", at positions 355 to 511 of the family's 1533-position model. The record is from RNAcentral.